RNAcentral lists this ribosomal RNA (828 nucleotides) under Xanthidae sp. 4 KYKC-2019. Its description in RNAcentral is "partial small subunit ribosomal RNA". Lineage: Eukaryota; Metazoa; Arthropoda; Malacostraca; Decapoda; Xanthidae. The record is from RNAcentral.
GACGGCCAGUAGCAAAAGCAGGAGUAAAGAUGAAUCCAAAUCAAAAGAUAAUAACGAUUGGCUCUGUUUCUCUCACAAUUUCCACAAUAUGCUUCUUCAUGCAAAUUGCCAUCCUGAUAACUACUGUAACAUUGCAUUUCAAGCAAUAUGAAUUCAACUCCCCCCCAAAUAACCAAGUGAUGCUGUGUGAACCAACAAUAAUAGAAAGAAACAUAACAGAGAUAGUUAUUGUGCCAGCAGCUGCGGUUAGACUUUAAGGUUAAGUGAAGAAGUAUUGAGUUUAAUUAGAUGARGUAUAGUUUAUAAAAUAAUUAAGAGAGAAAAAAGUGAAAUUAGAAUUCUUUUUUUAAUAAUAUUAUAGUAAACUUGAGUCGAAGUUAGUAAGUAUUAGGUUUAAACUAGGAUUAGAUACCCUAUUAUACUAAUAAAAUGUAUAUUACUCAGAUUAUUAGAAGUUAUGUUCUUGAAAUUCGAAGAAUUUGGCGGUGAUUUAGUCUUGUUAGAGGAACCUGUUUUUGAAUCGAUACACCACGUAAAAUCUUACUCAUUUUAGUAAUAAAGUUUAUAUACCGUCAUUAUCAGAUGAUUUUCUAAGAAUAAAUUAUUAAGUUUUUAUCAAAAAAGUUAAAUUAGAUCAAGGUGUAGCUAAUAAAUGAGUUAAAAUGGGUUACAAUAAAAUUUAUUUAAUACGAAAUAAUUAAAGAAAGAAGAAUUAUGAAGGAGGAUUUAAUUGUAAUUAAAGUAUAAUAAGCUUUAAAGAUAUAAGCUCUAAAUCAUGUACAUAUCGCCCGUCGCUUUCAUUUUAUAGAUGAGAUAAGUCGUAACAAA